GGACGAACGCUGGCGGCGUGCCUAAUACAUGCAAGUCGAACGAGCUCUCCCAAAUUGAUUUUAUGCUUGCAUAAAUGAUUUUUGGAUUCGGAGCGAGUGGCGAACUGGUGAGUAACACGUGGGUAACCUGCCCCGAAGCGGGGGAUAACAUUUGGAAACAAGUGCUAAUACCGCAUAAUUAGUUGGAACCGCAUGGUUCCAACUUGAAAGAUGGCUCUGCUAUCACUUUGGGAUGGACCCGCGCCGUAUUAGUUAGUUGGUGAGAUAAAAGCCCACCAAGACGAUGAUACGUAGCCGACCUGAGAGGGUAAUCGGCCACAUUGGGACUGAGACACGGCCCAGACUCCUACGGGAGGCAGCAGUAGGGAAUCUUCCACAAUGGACGAAAGUCUGAUGGAGCAACGCCGCGUGAGUGAUGAAGGUUUUCGGAUCGUAAAACUCUGUUGUUAAAGAAGAACAAGUGUUAGAGUAACUGUUAACACUUUGACGGUAUUUAACCAGAAAGCCACGGCUAACUACGUGCCAGCAGCCGCGGUAAUACGUAGGUGGCAAGCGUUGUCCGGAUUUAUUGGGCGUAAAGCGAGCGCAGGCGGUUUUGUAAGUCUGCUGUGAAAGCCCUCAGCUCAACUGAGGAAGUGCAGUGGAAACUACAAAACUUGAGUACAGAAGAGGAAAGUGGAACUCCAUGUGUAGCGGUGAAAUGCGUAGAUAUAUGGAAGAACACCAGUGGCGAAGGGCGGCUUUCUGGUCUGUUACUGACGCUGAGGCUCGAAAGCAUGGGUAGCGAACAGGAUUAGAUACCCUGGUAGUCCAUGCCGUAAACGAUGAAUACUAGGUGUUGGAGGGUUUCCGCCCUUCAGUGCCGCAGCUAACGCAUUAAGUAUUCCGCCUGGGGAGUACGACCGCAAGGUUGAAACUCAAAGGAAUUGACGGGGGCCCGCACAAGUGGUGGAGCAUGUGGUUUAAUUCGAUGCUACGCGAAGAACCUUACCAGCUCUUGACAUCUUCUGCCAACCCAAGAGAUUGGGCGUUCCCUUCGGGGACAGAAUGACAGGUGGUGCAUGGUUGUUGUCAGCUCGUGUCGUGAGAUGUUGGGUUAAGUCCCGCAACGAGCGCAACCCUUAUUAUUAGUUGCCAGCAUUUAGUUGGGCACUCUAGUGAGACUGCCGGUGAUAAACCGGAGGAAGGUGGGGACGACGUCAAAUCAUCAUGCCCCUUAUGAGCUGGGCUACACACGUGCUACAAUGGAUGGUACAACGAGUCGCGAAACCGCGAGGUCAAGCUAAUCUCUUAAAGCCAUUCUCAGUUCGGAUUGCAGGCUGCAACUCGCCUGCAUGAAGUUGGAAUCACUAGUAAUCGUGGAUCAGCAUGCCACGGUGAAUACGUUCCCGGGCCUUGUACACACCGC
Molecule: ribosomal RNA, 1408 nt
Filed under: uncultured Bacilli bacterium
Lineage: Bacteria; Bacillati; Bacillota; Bacilli
Description: bacterial SSU rRNA
Rfam family: Bacterial small subunit ribosomal RNA
Source: RNAcentral